UAUUAAAAAGUUCAUCUAUUUGUACUAUUAAAAACUAGUGUGGCUUAUAGAAUAACCAAACAGUGACACGUGUACCUUACGCUAACAACAAAAAUAAAUUUUUAAUAGUAGAAAUGGUAUGAAAUUUUUACCA
Non-coding RNA from Gossypium hirsutum (cotton), 133 nucleotides. The record is from Rfam. NCBI's taxonomy places the organism in Eukaryota, Viridiplantae, Streptophyta, Magnoliopsida, Malvales, Malvaceae.